Long non-coding RNA from Parus major (Great Tit), 979 nucleotides. RefSeq lists it as uncharacterized. The transcript is spliced from 2 exons. Lineage: Eukaryota; Metazoa; Chordata; Aves; Passeriformes; Paridae. The record is from RefSeq and is a predicted model, not a curated record.
UCGCAGCUGAGCCGCCCCGGGAGCCCCCGGGAUGAGCCUCGCAGCAUCCCGGGCACCGGGCAGGGGGUGCUCCCGGCUGCGCUUCUCGGCGCCGUGCAGGCCGAGGAAGGCGGUGUUUGACAGGGGUUUAACCUGAAAUCGCAAAUAUUCACACGCCUCGGUCAUAGCGGACAGCCCGCCGCUCAGACGGGACAUGGCUGAGGAGGCUCAGCCCUUCGACUGAUGGGUGAUUUAAUUGAUGCUCGUUCCUGAAAGCUUGGGUCCCUUGGAGUUGCUUGUUCCCAAGAAAAGCAUUCCAGUGUUGGCUGUAACUGUGUGGAUGGAUGCUGUAGAACAUGCCACCUCCAGACUGACAGCUGCUCCAAACACAUGGGGACAUGAAAAUGUUGUCAUUGCCUUAGUGUCUGUCUGGGCUGCUCUUUUUCCCUUCGGCUAGGCAGCCAAGAAGGGGUGAGUUUGGGCCAGGGACGGUCUCGUUUUGGCUGCAGAGCUGGAUUAGGGCUGAGGCUGGAGCUGGAGAAGCUGAAGCUUCCUCCACAUGCACAGGCAGUGCUGCAGGUGGGUCACAAAGACCUGCAGCCAGGCAGAAGAUACAGCUGCAGUGGCAUCUGCCUCAUCCUGUGGCAUCAAGAACCCACAGGACUCAGAAAACCACAUGGGGGGCUCUGUCUGUGCUGAAGCCUGAGGGACCACGGCCGUGCUGGGGCCAGCGCUUCUGUCUGAGUCAGUGACACUCUGGAUGUGGUGUCGGUGUCCCUGUGAUGGUUAGGGCUGACCACUUCUGCUUCUUGCUCUUUGGUCAUGAGUCCUGAAUACAGCCCUUUAUCAGGAAAUCAGAGAAAAGAGGAAGACCCUGUUCUGCAGAGUGUAUUUCCUACAGUGUUUCAAACAGCCUUGUGGAGAAGUCUGGAUUAUGUACUGGAAGUAUCCCUCUUUGAGGCAACAACCUGGAAAAAUAAAUAAUGGUGGCCUGUGCAAA